Molecule: small RNA, 28 nt
Filed under: Bombyx mori (domestic silkworm)
Lineage: Eukaryota; Metazoa; Arthropoda; Insecta; Lepidoptera; Bombycidae
Description: piRNA piR-bmo-1727808
Source: RNAcentral
UGAUAUAGGGUACUGUUCGUUGGAAUGC